RNAcentral lists this ribosomal RNA (380 nucleotides) under Chaetoceros curvisetus. RNAcentral describes it as "partial Eukaryotic small subunit ribosomal RNA". It matches the Rfam family "Eukaryotic small subunit ribosomal RNA", at positions 1 to 386 of the family's 1831-position model. The record is from RNAcentral. Lineage: Eukaryota; Bacillariophyta; Thalassiosirophyceae; Chaetocerotales; Chaetocerotaceae.
ACCUGGUUGAUCCUGCCAGUAGUCAUAUGCUUGUCUCAAAGAUUAAGCCAUGCAUGUCCAAGUAUAAACACAUAUACGGUGAAACUGCGAACGGCUCAUUAAAUCAGUUAUCGUUUAUUUGACAUUACCUUACUACAUGGAUACCUGUGGUAAUUCUAGAGCUAAUACAUGCUAAAAACCUCGACUUCGGAAGGGGUGUAUUUAUUAGAUAAAAAACCAAUGCCCUUCGGGGCUCCUUGGUGAAUCAUAAUAACUUAACGAAUCGCAUGGCCUUGCGCCGGCGAUGGUUCAUUCAAAUUUCUGCCCUAUCAACUUUCGAUGGUAGGAUAGUGGCCUACCAUGGUAUCAACGGGUAACGGGGAAUUAGGUUUCGACUCCGG